RNAcentral lists this long non-coding RNA (27630 nucleotides) under Lynx pardinus (Iberian lynx). The stretch from base 22112 to 22203 matches the Rfam family "tRNA". Lineage: Eukaryota; Metazoa; Chordata; Mammalia; Carnivora; Felidae. The record is from RNAcentral.
AGAACCACGUCUGUGCGGAAAAACAACCACUUUACUUUCCAUUCUGCUGCUGAGACGACCACAUCCUCUUCACACGUACCCCAGGCUCCCAUGGAGAGCUCAGGUCAGUAUGACCGGGUUGGGGGGGGCGGGGAGGGGAGAGAGGGGUCGAGUGCGUCCGGCUGCCUCGCAGGGGAAGGCCUCCCUGGCAGGUGACAGUGCCCCCCUGGGGCUGCCAUCUCAGACCCCCAUCUCAGCCGCCCCAGUGUGAGAACAUCUUGAGAAGCGGACCUCCACGCCCUUGUACGAGCCCCGGCUCCUUGCAGGUCACUGAGCUGGACACUGAGGAGGAGAAUGACAAUAGCCAAGAUCUAUCGCCAGAUGCUUGGGUUCAUUUACCAAACGCCUCGGUAGCAGUUACAAUCUAUCAAGUCGUGAUAAAAGCCCUUGACAAGUAUUAACUCACGGAGUCCUCAUAAAGACCCCCUGAGAUAGAUGUUAUCGCUGCCCCCAUUUUACAGAAAGAGAAAGUGAGGCCCAGCGGGGACAGGUAUUGCUCCCAAGGCCACAUAGCUUUGUACAGUCAAACCAGCACUUGACCCCAGCAGGCUAGCUCCAGCGCCGUGCCCUUAACGAUUUCGCUGUGGCUUUCCCCGGGCAGUCGUCAGAAGGGUUCUGUGUGGGACAAUAUCAAUGCCCUUGUCCCUGUUUUAUGGAAAAGGGGAACAGAGGCUCAGAGAGGUUAGGUCAUCUACUCAAAGCUGCACAGCUAAUAUCGGAACCAAGGUCUAGCUCACGGCAAAGCCCACGCUCUUCACACUUUGUCAACCUGGGACGAGGGAUGACCUUUCCCUCAAGAUGCGGAUCCCCUAAUGGUCACCCAGGAAGUCACAGAGCACUUCUCACGAGGCUUAGACGCUAAUGCCCCGGAAGACCCCUAUCCCAGGGAAGGGGAAGGCACAGCCAAGGCAAGUGAAGCUCCACGGGUCGUUAUUAUCCCUAAGACACGCAUCCUUUCCACACCCCGUCACCGUCAGAGCCUCCCACAGCCGGAAGAGGCUCGGGCUGAAUCAAGCAAGCCCGCAAAUCCCUGUGUUGCGAUAUUCCGGGUUAUCUUUCACCAGCUGGGGUUUGCCCGGUCCAGAGGGUGGCAGAGUGGGGCCAGCAGUGUGAAAAUCCCAAUAUUACUUUUUUAAAAAAAUUUUUUAAAUGUUCACUUAUUUUUGAGAGAGACAGAGACAGAAUGUGAGUGGGUUAGGGGCAGAGAGAGAAGGAGACACAGAAUCCGAACCAGGCUCCAGGCUCUGAGCUGUCAGCCCGGAGCCCGACGCGGGGCUCGAACUCCCGAGCUGUGAGAUCGUGACCUGAGCCAAGGUCGGACGCUCAAACGACGGAGCCACCCAGGCGCCCCGAAAAAUCUCAACAUUUCAAAACCAACUUACUUUGCGCUGGCUUUACGUCGAACAUUAGAUGCACGCCAUGCUGCGUUUUAGGAAGAGAGGUGUGCCAGUGAAGUUCGUUUGGAUACAAGCAGUAGAAACGCAUGUGGCUGGUUUAAUUUCCCGAACACAAAGAGUGCCCUUCACGCGUUCCUGCCCGCCGGCCAUCACCGGCGCAGGGCUCACCCAGGGGGAGAGAGAGUCCACUGGCCAGCUUGGGCCUCCACCGAAGAUGUGACAGAGGGCCGCCCCCGAAUCAAAUGGGGGAAAGAAAACAUCCCCCAGUUAGGAUGCUGGCCCCGGAAGCUCCCCAGGGGCGUCUCGCCAUCACGAUCAGAACUGAAGUUGUCCCGGCUGUCUUCCCAAAUUACAGAUGCCUAGAACUUGCCCCACCUUCCUGUCGCUCUAAGGGGUUCUCUCAUCCUAGCGUUCAGAAGAGGGGCCCCUGAAAGGGAAGGUAUUUCUUUAGAGGCAUGCAAAAGGCAACGCUCCAAGGCGCCCGAGUUAACUGUCAUUUGGCCAUCCCUGCAAACAGGGCCAAGAAUGCAAACCAUUUUUGAACGACCUGAGCCCUUGUUCCACGUGGGGGUCAGGGGGCCCCGGGCAUGGGCAUAAAAGAGAAGUGGGAGCCACAUGACUCCAGCCAAUGGUGCGUCUGGGUGCUGAGGGCAGAUUUCAGUAAGUUGAGAUGUCGAGACGGAGCUGUGGGAGCACCGGGGCCUUUCAGGCGAGUCCUGAGUCCCCCGGUUGAGAGGCCGGUCCGUGAGGUCCACGUGGUCAGCGUGCGGGGACUCGUGGGAUCUGGGAGAACGGACCCCAGCUCCGGGGUCAAGGUGGGGGAAGAGUCACCCUCUGAAAUGGAAACCAAGCUGCUAAGUGACAUUCCCCUGCACGGAACCAACCUGCCUCAGGAGUCCCCCGUCCGAACAGGGCCACAGGUGAACUGUGCUGUCCUCGACUGUUUUAUGGCUCACCCGGCGUGAAGUAACGGGCCCUGGGGUUAGUUUUCAAAGAGAGGGGACCAGAGUCUGUUGGUGCGUUCUCCCUCUCCGUCCAGGGAGGGGGUGCUGAUUCUGGUGGCUGCUGCCCAGAAGGCAGAAUAGGGCGAUUCUUCCCAGCGCCCUAGUUGGAGGAAACGUCCCUUGGGAGUCGCAAAUUCAACCUCUUGGGUGAUAAUUUUGUGUGUCCCAAGUGACCUGAGGUUGCCUGUCACCCUUUCGUCUGGAGGGACAUGUCCACUUCUUCUGAUGCGGAUGGAUGCCGUGGUCCUCUUUGGCUGUGUUAGCGAGGUUUUCUCCACAGAAACAGCCCCCGUAGGAUAUACACACAUAUAUGGGAUGAGAUUUAUUUCUUUUAACAUUUAUUUAUCUAUCUAUUUAUUUAUUUAUUUGUUUAGAGAGGGGAGAGGGACAGAGAGAGAGAGAGAGGGAGAGAGAGAGAGUCCCAAGCAGGCUCCAUGCUGUCAGUACAGAACCCGCCACGGGGCUCAGUCCCACGAACCAUGAGAUCACGACCUGAGCCGAAAUCCAGAGUCAGAUGCUUAACCCACUGAGCCACCCAGGCACCUCUAGCGUGAGAUUUAUUAUAAGAUUUAUUAUAUUUAUUAUAUGAGAGUUAUGGUAUAUAUUUAUUAUAAGGAGGUUUAUUAUAUUUAUUAUGAAGAUUUAUUCACGUUACCAUGAAGGCUAUUUGGGGGCGGGUGGAGGGUGUCAGCCUUUUGUUCUAUUCAGGCCUUCUACUGAUUGGACGAGGCCCACCCACGUUAGGGAGAGCCACCUGCCGACUCAGUCUACUGAUUUAAAUGUUUGCCUCAUCCAAAAACACCCUCGUAGAGACACCCAGAAGAAUGUUUGACCAGAUAUCUGGGCCCCUUGUGGCCCUAGUCAAGUUGACACAUAAAAUUAACCAUGACAAGUAGGUGUGGGGUAACUUGCAGAAGACAAAGACUGGUCUGCUCGGAAAAAUCUUGGAAGAUUUUCUUCAUGUCAUGGCUGGACCUCGAGCACUGAUGUCUACUGCCCAGCUCCCAGGGUUACGUUUCUUCUCUUUUUAUUUUUUAUUUUUUUAAUGUUUAUUUAUUGUUGAGAGAGAGACAGAGAGACAGAGCAUGAGUGGGGGAGGGGCAGAGAGAGAGGGAGACACAGAAUCUGAAACAGGCUCCAGGCUCUGAGCCAUCAGCACAGAGCCCGACGUGGGGCUCGAACUCACGGACCGUGAGAUCAUGACCUGAGCUGAAGUCGGACGCUUAACAGACUGAGCCUUCCAGGCGCCACCCCCCCCCACCACAGUUACAUUUCUGAACAGACACCACACCUAUUGCAAAACAAGCUAACAAACAAUGACAACUUUCAACUUUCUCCAAUUAUUUCCUUUGCAUCUCCUUCUGCCACCGUGACAGCCAGGAAGGAGCCAUUCUGACCCUGUGACCUUCAUUCUUAUGCAGGGAUGAUUGUCCUCUGUGAAGCCUGAGCAUUUUAGCACUUGACUCCUUUCUUGACUAACAGGUCAAUUACCCAGAACUCUAAGCUUAUCACUUAAGACAGUAAUUCACAUCCUGAUGAUACAUUAGACCGUCCUGGGGAGCUAUUAAAAAACAAACAAACAAACAUUAGUUCUCAUACUCUGAUAUCUGAUUUAAAUUGGUUUCGGGUGAGCUGUAUAUUAGUGAGGUUUUUUAAAGUUUAUUUUAUUUUAUUUUAUUUUGAGAGAGAGAGAGAGAGAGCACACGCACAGGGGAGGAGCAGAGAGAGAGAGAGAGAGCAGGGAAGGAGCAGAGAGAGAGAGAGGAAGAGAGAGAAUCCCAGUCUCCAUACAGUCAGCACAGAGCCCAGCGUGUGACUUGAUCUCAUGAAACAUGAGAUCAAGAGUCAGACGCUCAACCCACUGAGCCAUCCAGGUGCCCUGUAUGUUAGUGUUUUUUAAAGCUUUCUGAGUGAUUCUCCUGGGAAGCCAAGAUUGGGAAGGGGGGAAAAGGAAAACAUUCUAUGAAGCAUUUGGGAGAGAUGUGAUUCUGUCUGGGAUCACAGAAGGCUGGAAUGGCCAGAAAUUGAAGAGUGGCCCUUGAGCGAAGGGAGUCCUACUGUGGUCAGGACCCUGAAACCCUACUUCUCCAUCCCUCCCUAUUGGCUCCGUGGCCUCCUAACACCUACCCUGGUUUGAGAGCUGGGAAUCUUUGUGCGGGCGACUUUAUCCAGCAUAUUGAUUUUCAGCACUCAAAGCCCAGACACUCAUAGAUAAGACAUAUGUUCAUAGUCUCACCUGGGAAUUUCCUCCUCUCCCUUUUCCGGGUAAGCAGGUGGGUGGACACAUGUAAGAGGGCAGCUUUAGAAGAAGAGGCUUUGCCGAAGAGAAAGCUCUCUUCCCGCAUUUCUGUGGCCUUAUGUAAAUCACCUCUCCCCUCAGAGCCUCAUUUUCCCAUCUGUAAAAUGGGAUGAGAGCCUCUCCGAUCCCUCUGGGCCUGACCUCUGUGCUUGGAGAGGCAAUAUGGGGCAAGGGUAAGAGCUCUCGACCUGGAAUCUAAAAAACAGAGAGAAGAGUAUUUGGAGGGCAAACCCCCAGGGCUCUGCUGAGAAUUCAAUGAGGUAAUAUGCCAGAAAAUGCUCUGCAAGUACACGGGUCAGUCAGAGAAUGCUAGCCGCCGUAACAAAUAACCCCAAUGUCAGUGGAUUAGCACAACAAAUGCUUAUUUCGCACACCGCCAUCCAGCGUGGGCUCCAGUCUUCCGGGGACUGAGUUCUCCCUCCUUCUUGUGGUACCGCCGUCUUGAACAUGUCUUCCAAGGUCACCACGGAAUGGGAAGAGAGAGGUGGAGGCUAGUGCAGGGGGUUUUAGGACCGGGCGUGAAUGUGUCAUAUGUUGUGUCUACCGUAUUCCAUUGGACAGGACUCAGCACAUGGCUCCCAUAACUGCAGGGGAGUCUGGGAAAUGUAGUCUUCCCGUCUACCCGCGACAACCAUGAGAUUGGUUUGAUGAACACAGGACAUUGUCUUGCCAUGCCUGCGUACGACUUUCUGUGUGUAUUCCUUUCAAGUGCUAUUUAAAUGUCAGAUAUUAAUAGUAACGUGACAAUAUCCCACAUUCCUGGAUGGAGGGGAGGAUAAUAACUAGGAAUGUUUAUUUCUUUAUUGGCCGUUCUGAGUCAAGAAUGAUGGUAGACGUGCAUGUCGUAUAUGAACAACCUUGAGAUGCUUGAGGCACAGAAAUACUCCAUUUCUUUCUUUUGCUUCAUGCAAUCAAAUCCAGCUUCAAGCUCUCCUUUGCCAUGGCCAGUACAAAUUCCAAUGUCAUUCACUUGGGGGUGGUUCCCCCUCUCUGUGAUCUUGUAAGCCCAGGGGUUACAAAGUGUUCAUGAUGGAAAAGUCCGUGGUCUUCAGUCCUCUGUAGCUGCAGCCCCCUGAGCAGGUUGGCUAGGCUUGCAUGGUGCAUAGGGAGAGAGGGGGUUCCUUUGGGGACAUUCUUGAGUGCUGGCAAAGGUGACCCAGGAGACCACAGCAGUGACCCUCAAGGUCAGAGGUUCGUGCUCACCUGCCUUCAGCCGAGAUCUUUGCCACCCCCGGUGAGCUGUGUCCCAGCCAGCCCUGGUCUGGGCUCCCCCAAUCCAGGGGACUCUAGCCUCUCUGCUUCCCUUUGGGUUAUCACUCUCCUCUAGAACUAAAAGCACCAGCCUUCACCCCCACCCCUCUGAGAUAAUCCAGCUCAUCGUCUCCGUCCCCUUGACAGGGGUCUCAAACUCAGGGGCCGGGUAGAGGGUGUGGAUGGGGGAAACCAGGAGGGGAGGCACUGUGAGGAACCGGAAUAGCUGUGCCCCAUCGAUUGCCCCCAUGUGAGGAGAAUGCGUGCCUGAUGUCAACGGACUUUCAAGAGAUGCCAGAAACCCAACUUUUAUGCAAAAUCUCCUGAUUUGUCAAUGUUGGCAGCUGAUUCCUUUUCUUCUCCUUUCCUUUCGAGACACUCUGCAAGCCCAAACAAAACACGUCUGCAAGCCAGAUGUGGACCAAAGCCCGAGAGUUUGUUCUGGCUGCCCAGACUUUCGAAAACACACUUUAUUUGGGGUUGUCUCCUGGGGCUCCUGGCAACUUCUCUAUUUUUUCUCUGAAACAUAAAAGCUGAGCUCCCUUUGCAAAGCGGCGGAACCCAGGGCUCAGAAGACAAAGGCUUGACUGCCCUUUGAGUGAGGGGGCAGGGGGGAGAUCACCGCGUUCACGGUUCCCAGCCUGUGUGGUCCUUGGUGAGGCGGGUGGAGAAGGAGGAGGAAGGAAGGAGGAAAGAAGAAAGUAGACAUAACAUAAUGUUUUCAUAACUCAGCCUGCACUGACUCCUUAAAUCUUCAUGCAAGGUGGAGACAGGUAGAUGGGAAGACAGCUUGUGGCCAGCCUUCGCGCCAGGCUUCGUGAUCCUGGCCAGUGUAGGGGGAUGCUUCAGUGCCCAGCAGGGCGGCUGGGUGGCCAGACGUGGGGUGUAACAGCCAGUGCCCGUUCUCAGCCUCAGGGAAGGCUCCAGAACGGGCCUCGAUGUGCCCCUGGGCGACAGGGGAGAGGCAGGUAGAAGGUGAGGGUUUCGGAGAAGCCAGGUGGCCGACUUAACAGAGCUCACGCCAGAGCCUUGGAGGGGCCGGUCCCCAAGCCCCGGCUCACCCCGGGUCCUCGGCUAACCCCAUUCUAACUCCUGAACUGCAACCCGCUGGUUUCUGAAAAUUGUGAUCUCGAUCCUGCUUGCUUCCCAAGGCGCUCGAGGCAAUUAAGAUCUAUGUUCAGUAGGAUGUAAACCAAGAGCAGGAAGAGGAUGCGGGAGGAGAGGUCCCUGACCCCUGAGAUGAGCUGAUUUGUGACGCUGGGCCCCAGUCUGACUGUAAGUUUCCUGACAAACAAGCGAAAGAGGAACCCCAGACACGCGUGUGGUUUGCAGCGUCCGAGAACCCAAGAACGCACACGCUUGCCUGUAAAUUCGAUCUCUUGUCGGGAGCUGGUGGUAAAGAGGGGUCUGUGGUGUGGACAGCGUCUCCCGGGCUUCCUGUGUUAGUCCGGAGCCUUCGAGAAGCAGGGUGGCCACGCGGGGACCGAGGUGGGGGGCACACCUUGGGGGCAGGAAAGGGAGAGGGUGCGGACCGACAUCUGGCUCCGAGGGAAGGAGAAAGAGAAGGGCUCAGCUGGGCGGCUGGGGGACCCCUGCGUGGAAGUCAGGCACGGAGAAGGGCCCCAGUGUCCGAGGAGGAGACUGUGAGGGCCCACGGCUCCCCGUAGUGGCCCCACAGCGGGCGACGGGCUGCCCGCACAGAGCCCAGCUAACCUCCCCGUAGUGGGAGAUGGGCCAGGGGCCUCCUCCCCGUCACCAGUGAACCUCACUUGUUCAGAUGGUGAGGACUGGAUCUGAGGCCAUUUCAACAGGGGACGGAGAUUGGGCUCGGCCCCCAAAGAGGCAGAUGGCUGGGGGGUUGUAGCCAGUGGACGGCGAGGGGGCCAGCGGAUGGGAGAUCCCUGGGAGGAGACACCGAGGGUGCAGGUUCCUGCUGAGAGGGUUCUGCUAAAACCAGUCCACAGGCAGGCGGAAGGCAGGACCGGGGCCAAGAUGGGGGGUGGGGGUGGGGAAGGCGACUUAGAGCCUGAGUUCACUUGAUCAGGGGCACGGUCACCUCCUGCCCCAGCAUUUAUCUGACCCGUUUCUUUCGGUUGGCUUUAAAUUUUCACUUCAUGUAUCGAUUGAGGAACCCCUUAGAAAUAUUGUUUUUCGGGGGCGCCUGGGUGUCUCAGUCGGUUGAGAGUCUGAGUCUCGAUUCUGGCUCCGGUCAUGAUCUCGUGGUUUGUGGGUUCGAGCCCCAUGUCGGGCUCUGCGCUGGCCUGCUUGGGGUUCUCUCUCUCUCCUCUCUCUCUCUCUCUCUCUCUGCCCCUCCCCUGCUCGCUCACACUCUCUGUCUCUCAAAAUAAACAUUAAAAAAAAAAUUUUUUUUUGAGCACACAUUAAAAUAACAGCCUAGUGAUUCGAUUGUUUUAGGACCUUUUAAGGCCCUAUAAAACCAUCCCGUGUACCGCCGGGGGCACACUGACAGCACUCUGGUUUUACGGAGCACACGGAGAUGGUGACUGGAAGGCUGUGUUUCGGGCCCGUGUGCCCGCUGUCUGCUCCGAGCUGGCCACUUUGGGACACCUCUCGGGGCUUGGAGAAGGGGGGCUGAAGACGGUCUCAGGGAGUGCAGGGGUGGGAGGGAGGGGGACGCCGGGGGCCCCAAAGCUCCUGGCCUCAAUGCUCGCCCGCCCCUGCCGCCCAGAUGCUGAGCUGGAUCUCCAACGGAGCGUGCAGGCCGUGCUCCGGGAGCUCGGCGCCCAGGCCCCGUCCCUGCAGAGCAACCAAGGUAAAAGCCAGCAGGCAGCCUCUGCCACGAUCUCUCCCAACCACCUUCCCAACCCCCCCCGGCGAACCAAAUUCCCCUCGACCCUCUGCGCCCGCCAGACUCCCAGAAACGCGGCCCCGGGCGCAGACCUACAAACAUCGCCGGUCCCUAAGCCACAGGCAUACACCUGUGUCCCCCUAGUGUCCCUCUGCCUGCCUUUCCGCCCUGAGAGGCCCCUGUCCUCAAAAAUCAGCAGAGCAGAAUUCCACGGGUGAGAAGUCCAGCCAUGUGGCCCCAGGGCCAGAUGCCCAGCUGAGGGGUCAGACUCGUGGUUGGUCAGAGUCACGGUCUGGGGCUCCAGGGCGCAGGGUCCCGCUCCGGGGGUCCCCCGCUAAGAGCCCCCUGCCCCACCUACGUGUGCCGGGCUCCCCUUUCUCCCGGCCAGGCAUGUGGAGAUGGUCCCUGCAUAAGAAGGUGGAGCGAGAUCCUGGAAAGAGUCCGGCUCUGGUCCGCAUUCUGCUCAGAGAACUGGAGAAGGUGGGUUCUGGGCUUCGGGGAGGCGGGCGGGGGUAGGAGAGAGGGAGAGGGAGAGAGAGACCCAGCCAGCCGCGGCCUCGGGGCCAUCAGAGCCGCGUCCCCCAGACUCCGGUCACUUGUGGGCUGUCAGCAUGAUGUUUGCCAGCCGUGUCUCCCUCCUGCACGCUUCUGUCAGUGAGAUUUUCUUGAUCCUGACUCUCUUUACUUCACUUGACUUAGCCCGUUCCCCCAGGACCAUAAAUGGAAAAGCCCCCACUGGCAGAGAGACAGAAUACCGAUAAACAUAAGUGCCUAUUUCUUAUGACCUUUUCUUUUUUUUUUUUUUUGACGUGAUUUUUUAUUAACACUGAAUAAAAAAAUAAUAUCCACUCUGGCUGUCUCCUGCAUUGCAAGGGGAAGAGUGGGGGGAGGGCCUGGCACUUCCCGCCCCCGCCCCCCAGGCGCAGGGCAAGCCCCGCCUCCGGGGCUCCCCUGCUUCCCUUAGGGUGACGUUUUCAAAAUCGUUCUUGGACCGCCGAAAGUGACCCUCCACACCACCCCAUGCCCCCUCCCCCGGGCCCCCAGACCAGUAAAUGCCCUGCGAUUCUCCUGUUUUCCAGGCAGAGAGCGAAGACAUCCGGCAUGCGAUCAUUCCCUUGCUGCACACGCUAAUGUAUGUGCUCACUAAGGUGAGCGUGACGCCGAGGGUCAGGGCGGUCGUGGCAACCCACACGUGGCAGGGCCAGACACUGUCCUCUCCCGCAGGAGACACGCAGUCUCUGCCUGGGCGCGCCUAGGAGAGCUCUUGGGUGGCCUGCCCCAAACCGUCUUCUCCACACUCGCGGUGCCCUGCCCCUAAUACACAAAGCGGGCUACUGGGGAGGAAGUUGGGAAAGCGGUGCGAGCGGGAGGCAUGAGAGCCUCGAAUGCCGGAAUGGGGUCCUCGGGAUUGCUCCCAUGCGCCCCGGGGGCCAUCACUGAUGCCUGCUUAGGAAAGGCACGAGCCACGGAGAAAAUGUCUCGACAGCGGCGAUCAGGAGCUGUGUACGAUCGCGGGGGGUGGGAGAGGGCAGCGAGGGAGAUGAGGGGCACAGAGAACAGUUCGGGGGCUGCCGGGAUCCGGGGGCAGGAGGGGGCUGGGCUCGGGCCAAGGCAGAAGGCGCAGGAGGAAGCGGACCCCGUGGCCACCGCACUGGGAGCGUCAUGCCUGCGGGAUAUCGCGCCCAGCAGGCUGGAGACGAGACUCCAGGUUUUCAGCCUAGAGCCCCGCAGGAAUGCGCUGCCCGGACAAGCGGAGGGGAGGGGAGGGGAGUGGAUUUGCUAGCAGGACAGGGUGAGACGGAUCCCCUUUGGGGCGAGUUUGAGUGGGGUGUCCGAGAGGUGUCUUUCAGGUGCCGGGCGAAGAGACUAGGGGUGUACGUUUGGGAGGGAGGUGUGAGCCCAGGUCUGGCUGUCAGACCUGCCUUUCCUCCUCUCCACCCCACCCUCCCACCCACCCAGCACCCUUUGUGACCUAGGGCUCUGGGCACCCAACUCCUCCCUCCCACCCAGGCCACGGGCAUCACGGAGGAGCUCUACCGGAGAACCUACACCUUUUGCACAAGGUUGCUAACCCUGCCCGCCCCCUACUGCACGGUCGCCUUGGACUGCGCCAUAAGGCUGAAAACCGAGACCGCUGUCCCAGGUGAGAGCUGUCCCAGGUAGGAGCUGUCCCAGGUAGGACCUGUCCCAGGUGAGGUCUGUCCCAGGUGAGAGCUGUCCCAGGUGAGACCUGUCCCAGGUAGGACCUGUCCCAGGUGAGGUCUGUCCCAGGUGAGAGCUGUCCCAGGUAGGAGCUGUCCCAGGUAGGACCUGUCCCAGGUAGGAGCUGUCCCAUGUGAGAACUGUCCCAGGUAGGACCUGUCCCAGGUGAUACCUGUCCCAGGUAGGAGCUGUCCCAGGUGAGGUCUGUCCCAGGUAGGACCUGUCCCAGGUGAGGUCUGUCCCAGGUGAUACCUGUCCCAGGUAGGAGCUGUCCCAGGUGAGAACUGUCCCAGGUAGGAGCUGUCCCAGGUAGGACCUGUCCCAGGUGAGACCUGUCCCAGGUAGGAGCUGUCCCAGGUGAGGUCUGUCCCAGGUAGGACCUGUCCCAGGUGAGGUCUGUCCCAGGUGAUACCUGUCCCAGGUAGGAGCUGUCCCAGGUGAGACCUGUCCCAGGUAGGAACUGUCCCAGGUGAGACCUGUCCCAGGUAGGACCUGUCCCAGGUGAGGUCUGUCCCAGGUGAUACCUGUCCCAGGUAGGAGCUGUCCCAGGUGAGACCUGUCCCAGGUAGGAGCUGUCCCAGGUGAGGUCUGUCCCAGGUAGGACCUGUCCCAGGUGAGGUCUGUCCCAGGUGAUACCUGUCCCAGGUAGGAGCUGUCCCAGGUGAGACCUGUCCCAGGUAGGAACUGUCCCAGGUGAGAACUGUCCCAGGUAGGAACUGUCCCAGGUGAGACCUGUCCCAGGUAGGAGCUGUCCCAGGUAGGACCUGUCUCAGGUGAGACCUGUCCCAGGUAGGACCUGUCUCAGGUGAGACCUGUCCCAGGUAGGAGCUGUCCCAGGUAGGACCUGUCCCAGGUGAGACCUGUCCCAGGUGAGACCUGUCCCAGGUAGGAGCUGUCCCAGGUGAGACCUGUCCCAGGUAGGACCUGUCCCAGGUGAGAACUGUCUCAGGUAGGAGCUGUCCCAGGUGAGACCUGUCCCAGGUGAGACCUGUCCCAGGUAGGCGCUGUCCCAGGUGAGACCUGUCCCAGGUAGGCGCUGUCCCAGGUAGGACCUGUCCCAGGUGAGACCUGUCCCAGGUAGGCGCUGUCCCAGGUAGGAGCUCUCCCAGGUGAGACCUGUCCCAGGUAGGAGCUGUCCCAGGUAGGACCUGUCUCAGGUGAGACCUGUCCCAGGUAGGAGCUGUCCCAGGUAGGACCUGUCCCAGGUGAGACCUGUCCCAGGUGAGACCUGUCCCAGGUAGGAGCUGUCCCAGGUGAGACCUGUCCCAGGUAGGAGCUCUCCCAGGUGAGACCUGUCCCAGGUGAGAGCCGGCUCAGGUAAGAGCUGCAGUGCAGCUACAUCCACGGUCUUGCUUUUCCUCCGAGGUUCCUGGAGCUCAAAAGUCCCAGCACCUUCUGUGGAGGGUGCGAAAUGGGGGUCAGAGACCAGAAGCCGGUUGGCUGAUGCGGUCUGCUUUGCAGGGACACUGUACCAAAGGCUGGUCAUUGCCGAGCAGAACCUGACGAGUGAGCUGUACCCCUACCGGGAGAGGUGAGUGACCCCUGGCAGCAUGCUGGCUUCCGCCCCCUCCAGGUGUUGGGACGCCAUGACUGCUCACUGAGGGGGACAAGGCUGGGUGGAGAGGAACCCCAGCAGAGUUUCCUGUCCAUGGCAUUUGUCCCGGGGGGAGUGUAUUUGCAAGGGUGGGCGGGGCCUGCCUUCUCUGGAGAUCACAGGAAGCAGGGUGGUGGGUCUGUCCUCUGGGGCUGGCUCAGAGCCCUCCCGCUCACAUGCAGAAGGUGACACGAGCACUGGGCCAGCCUGGAGUUCUGUCGUUCCACCUCCGUCCCGCCCUUGGCCAUGAUGCAGCAUCAGCCGGCCAGCCAGCUGGCCAGAGGUGGCUCCCGGCUGCUUACGGUCCAGGCCACAGUCACACCGUGAAAUCUGGGGCUUUCGUCUGUGCCUGGCCCUUCGGAUAAGAUUGAGGAAAUGUCUGCUGUUGGUGUGGGGAAGAGGGGCCGGUCAAGUUGGGGGUGCCGCUGCUGACCCGGCCCUGGAAGGUGUGGCUUGAGGCUGUGUUCAUGGGGGGUGCAGGGAGGUGAGGUGGAGAGACCCAGAGGAGCCGGGAGCCAGGAAGGAGAGCAGGGGCGGGAGGGAGAGCCAGGCGCUGGCAUGAUAGGGUGAUGGGAGGAGGCAGGGCUCACUCAGGGUCCAGAGUCCGCUUGGGCAGGAAGGAAUUAGGGUCCCUCCUGGAGGGCGAUGUCAUCAGUGGACCACAGAGCUGAGGGGGUGGGGGACAGGAUUUAGCUUGGGACUUGCCUGGACGCGAGACUAGGGGGCACCAACGGGGGCCAGCUGUUCCUGCCUGCUCUCUGAUUUGCCACAGUCCCCACUCCUCCCUAUUGCUGUCCCCCCCGAGACUUCUUUUUUAAGUUUAUUUAUUUUUGAGAGAGGGCAGCGCAGAGAGAGAGGGAGAGAGAGAAUCCCAAGCCGUGAGCGCAGAGCCCGAGGCGGGGCGCCACCCCACCAACCGCGAGAUCAUGACCUGAGCCGACAUCAAGAGUCUGACCCUCAACCGACUGAGCCAUCCAGGCGCCCCAACCCCCAUAGACUUUGGAAUCCGAGGCUCCUGUUUUUGGAGGAACAAAAUACUCGGGGGCUGCAGGGCUCCACGCUGCCCUUCCAGGCGCUCUCCCCGCCGCAGCCAUCCUCUGCAGCAACCCCCCCCCCCCCACCUCUGCCCUCAGAGCAUUCCUCUUCGUGGACCCCGAGCUGGUGUCCCCGUCCGUGUGCGGCGCGCUGCUGCUGGAGCUCGAGGCGGCGCAGGCGCAGCAGACGCCCGAGGCCUGCAUGCGCCACGUGGUCGCCCACGCCCUGCAGGCCGCCCUGGGGGACGCCUGCCACGCAGGCGCUCUGCAGAGGAAGCUGCAGGUAACCGCCCCGCCCCAGCCCUCCUUGGCUGCGCCCGGGGCCCUGCACGCACACGCCAGCCCUCCUCCCCAUCUGCUCUCCUUCUCCCCGGUUCAGACCACCCUUGCCCCCUCAAUGCCGAAGGAGUACGCACUCGUUAAGGAAAAUCCGGGGCGGGAAUGCACGCAGGCCAAAAGAGGAAAGAAAAAUCGCUCACACCCGCGCACCCAGAUGUAUUCCCAAUCGACGUUUUGGUCUGUUUCCUUAAUAAUACAGACGACGAUAACCCGGACAGGUGCUGUCGACUGAAUGUCUGUGGUGUCCCAGGCACGGCGUUAGACACUUUUUACAUGUAUCACAUUUAAAAAAGGCUCACCACGUGUCGACAACAUUGUGAAAUGGGUAUAAUCAUUAAAACUGGGGCACAGAGAGGUUGAUAACCUGCCCGUGGUCACACAGGUACAAAGUGACUGGGUCAGGAUUUGAACCCAGGUCUCUCCGACCUCAAACUUAUGUUCCAUCGCCUCCCGGCCCCACAGCCCCACCACCCUUUUUUAGCAGGAGAUACCAAACUCUGUAUACAGUUGUCCCAAAUUGGGGUGAGAGGCCGGGCCUCAGUACUCCCGCACCUAUUAAUUAUUGGACGUGGACGGUCCUCAGGAAGGGACAUGACCGUGGAGAGUGGCAUUUUUUUUUUUUUGCCGGAGGCUGACUAUGGAAAGGGACUCAGCUGACAGCUGACGGUUGCUAAUGCUCCCAGCAGCGGGGCUAAUGAGUGCCUCAGUCUUGAAGGUGGGAAUCCGGGGAGCCACCAUGGCAUUUAUCACACUGUUGCACAUGGAAUCAAAGCCAAAGACAUCUCAAUGGCCUACAAGACCCUCGAGAUCUGUCCUACCUCCUCGCUUCCUCUCUGAUUCCAUCUGAUUCCAUCUUCUGUAGUUUCCCUCUCUUCCUCUCUGCUCCAGCUACAUAGGUCUCCCUAUUGUCCCUCAAACAUGCCAGGCAUGCUUACACCCCAGGGCCUUUGCACAUGCCGUUUCCGAUGCUUGGAACAUUCUCUCAGAUAUCCACACGGCUCGCUCUCUCACUUCCUUUAGGACUUUACUCAAAAGUCACCUGUCGGUGAGACCUCCCUGAUCACAUUAUCUAAAAUGUCAGCCCCUGCCCCCAAUUUCACAUCCUUCUACUCUGCAAUUUAUCGUAUUAUAAAUUUUACUUCUCUUGUUUAUUAUCAUGGGGGGGGUGGAGAGAGAGAGACAUACACUAUAAUAUAAACUCCCUGGGAACAGGAAUUUUUAUCCAUUUUGUUCACAGCUGUAUCCCAGCAUCUAGAACAGGGUCCGUUUUGUUCACAGCUGUAUCCCAGCAUCUAGAACAGGGUCUGGCAUGUCGUGGGUGCUCAAUAAAUAUUAGUGUAUUUAUAAAUUGAGCAACGAGAUGAAAUGGACCCGAUGGCCCCUUCUAACUCUGAUUCGGUCAUCUUCUCGUUGCAUUAUCUGUUCGCUCCACAAGUGUUUAUCGGGGCCCUAGCCACCCAGAAUGACCCUCCCUCCCUUAAGCAGGAAGUUAGGAUCCCGCUCAGCAGACCCCCCCCCCCCCCCAGCACAGACCAGAGAGGAAAACAAGCCCUGGUGUGCAGACAACAUAAUGCAGGGCUCUUCUCAGGGUUUCGGAUCUGCACCACGGGAGGGAGGAGCUGAAGAGCAUGGGAUUGCCCAGUGAGAAGCUUUCAAAACCUGUUCCCAUCCAUUCCCAUUAAGGAGAAAGGCUCAGCUUGGUGUUCUACCCCUAACUUCUUUAACAGUCCCUUCCCUUUUUCUUUUUUUUAAGUUUAUUUAUUUUUGAGAGGGAGAGAGAGAGACAGAGAGACAGAGUGUGAGCAGGGGAGGGGCAGAGAGAGAGGGAGACACAGAAUUGGAAGCAGGCUCCAGGCUCUGAGCUGUCAGCACAGAGCCCGACGCGGGGCUCGAACCCACAAGCCGCGAGAUCAUGACCUGAGCUGAAGUCGGAGGCUUAAACCGACUGAGCCCCCCGGGCGCCCCUAACUUCUCUUUUUAAAAAGAGAAGGCAAGCUUCCAGCCAUAAAGCCUUGGCAGGCUGGCGCUUAAAAAUAGGGGUUUGUGAUGAUUAUAUUCAUCUUGGUUAUUUUUCUAAGUGGGACGUGUGACUCUAGCCUUUUUAUAUAGAUUACCAACAUAAAUUGUCCUUCUGAAAUAGCUGGGAACCAAAGUGAGCUGAUUGAAAGAACAAGGGCGAGAAAAUAAUCAUACAGCAACUAUUUAGGGAGCACCCCCCACGCGCCAGGGCGUGUUCUAGGCGCUGCGGAUGCCGCUGUAAACAGACUGCCUUCCUGGAGUUUACAUCCAGGCGGGGGCAGAAGACUGACCCAAGGGAGGCCCUCCCUGCCCCUCUGGGGUCCCGCCGUUGCGGGGCAGCCCCGUGUGGGGGACAGAGAGGACGCUCAGGUGUGGGCAGCAUCGGGCAACCUCGGAGCCCGGGGGGGUGGGGGGGGUGGGGGGGGGAGGCUGGGCCGGGACCCAGGCUCUGGCGCCCCUCCCCGACAGGCCAGCCCUCGCCAGGCCCUGGAGCGCUAUUUCCACGCCGUGGUGGCAGCCGUGGAGCAGAUGGCCAGCGAGCCCAGCCCGAGCCGGGAGGGACACCUGGAGAGGCUGGAGGAGAUUUACUGCUCGCUGCUGGGGCCGGAGGCGGCCGCNGGCCGCCAGGGGGCGCUGCGGCGGUAAGCGGGCGGGGGCGGCGAGGCCCGGCGAGGGCCCGCAGGGGGGCGCCGGAGAGCAGCGCUGCACCCGCCGCGCGUGGCUGAGGCGGGCGGGCCUGGGGACCGAGGGCCGCCCGGGGAACUUGGACGGUCCCGGGCUAAGCAGGCAGAGAGGAAGCCUGGACGGGACCAUAUGGGGGAGAGAGGGUCUCUGCACGCCCCCCGCGCCCUCCAGGAGCCGCAGGGGAGGGCAGAGGAGAAUCCCACAGCCCGCCCCCCCCCNNCCCCCCCCUUCUUUCAGGCGACCCCCUGCAGUCCCCGCAGCCAAACAUCCCUCUGCCCAGCCCCCACAUCACCUUCCACCUGUGGACGGAUGAAGAACAGCUCUGUAAGUGCCUCACACCUCCUCCCUGCAGAGCUGAAGGGAAAUGAGUGUGUGCGUGUGUUUCUCACUGUGUGCGUGUGCAUGCGCGUGUCUGUGUUUGUGUGUGUGCGUGCAACUGUGCCUUCGUGGGCCUAUAGGUCUGUGUCUGCGUGACUGCGUGUAUCACGUGUGUGUAUCUAUUUAUGUCCUUGCGUAUGUGUGUGCACAUCUGUGUGUGUGUGUGUGCGCCUUGCUCCCUGAGCUGUUCUGCACGUCUGGAGCAACGCAUUUUCUCUAUGCUAGAAGAGCUCGGUGCCUUAGCCACUGGCCUCACCUAGAAAGGGCCACAUGCCCAAGCUGAUGCCGACAGACAAUGAAUGUCCCCAAGAAGGAGGCGGUCACACAGAAGUUACAGUUCCAGGAACUGGAGGGGUCUUUCCAGAGAGAUCUGCUUGCCUCACACUUCUGUCCACACUGGCCUUCCCCUCACACUGUCCCUGGCUCUUCUCAAGAGAGGUGGGGGUCGGUGGUGGGGGUUGGGGGAAGUGCUGGCUGGUGAACUAGGCCCAAGUCCCUCCUUGCACGGGCUGGGUCAUCCUAGACUGCCUCUGUGUUCUCGCUGGGCCUCAGUUUCCUCGUGGGUAAUAAAAUGAAAGUAGAUUAGAAAAGCCUAGGGGCACCUGCGUGGCUCAGCGGUUAAGCGUCAGACUUCAGCUCAGAGCAUGAUCUCACCGUUUGUGAGUUCGAGCCCCGCGUGGGGCUCUGUGCUGACAGCUCAGAGCCUGGAGCCUGCUUCGGAUUCUGUGUCUCCCUCUCUCUCUUCCCCUCCCCUGCUCAUGCUCUGUCUCUCUCUCUGUGUCAAAAAUAAACAUUAAAAAAAAUAAUAAAAAUAAGAAAACAUUUCUCAAAAGAAGGAAAGAAAGAAAGAAAAGCCUAGAAGUCUUUCCUGGAGUAGGCAGGGUCUGCUCUCUGUGUCCCAGGGGAAGCCACAGACAAGAAGAGGAUAGGAGGAAGCUAAUAAAGAGGGCUCCAGAGUCAGCGAAGGGGAAGGUACCGAGUGUUGCUGACUACUGCAGGACUUCUCAGAGCCUUGAGUACAUGUACUCAACACGAGGUGUCAGGAAUAUGCGGGCUUCGCCAUCUCUGUUCACCGCAGGACCUUUGUUCCUUCGCGGGGCAUCUUAUGGGGCUUCUGUCCAGCUGAACGGUGUUUGAGAAACACGGGAGCCCAGGCCUUGCAGGGGUGAGGCCCUGCCAGCCUCCUCUGACCUCUCUCCUCCCCGCUCCCCGCAUCCCAGGGAAGGAACUGGUGCUCUUCCUGCGCCCGCGAUCCCAGCUGUGCCUCAGCGCCGACUUGGAGGCCUUGGAUCUGCAGGGCCUCUGGCCGGACCGGGAGCUGGCCCGGGUGUCCAUGCUGUCCACAGACAGCGGCAUCGAGCGGGACCUUCCUCCGGGGGCUGACGAGCUGCCCCUACCCGGCAGCCCCGAGAUGGAGCGCGCCAGGCUGCAGCGCAAAGGCGGCGUCAAGAAGCGGGUGCGGCUCCCGGACGUCUUGAUGCCCGCGUGCUGGGACGGGCCCCCGGGUCUACACCGCAGGACGGGCAGGCCCAGUGGGGACGGGGAGCUACUGCCUGGUGUGUCGCGGCUUCACACGGCCAGGGUGCUGGUGCUGGGGGACGACAGGAUGCUGGGGCGCCUGGCCCAGGCCUACCACAGCCUCAGGUAGGGCCCGGAGGGGGGCGGGGCGGGGCGGGGCGGGGCGGGGGGCGGGGCUGCGUCAGACCCAGCUCGCCGCCGCCGCCAGGGGGCACUGCGCUCACCAGCUCGGCGCUGUACGUUCUGGCGAGCCCGGCAGUCCUCGUCAGUACACCGCGCCCAUUCUGCAGAUGAGAAAACGGGUGCCGAGAGAUUGAGUAGGUCGCUCACAGGCAAGAGAGAAUACAGAGCAGAACCAGGAUGUGGAACCGUUGGAAGCGCAAACCCCUGCCCUGACGCCUGUGUUCCGCCCUCUUUGCUAGGAAACGAGAGACCCAGAAGUGCUGCCUCACCCCCAGGCUCAGUCUACAGCUGUACUACAUCCCCGUGCUGGCACCCGAGGUGGCUGGGCAGGGGAGGGGGGAGGCACGUCGGGGAGGACGUGGGAGGGGCGUCCCCUGCCUCAGGGGCUGGGCAGGGGGCACGCUUUAGCCCCAUCCCUGGCCCCAGGGACUCGGAUCACCCUUCCUUAGGAUGCGGGGCUGGGGGAGCCCUUUGAUCUGUUGGGGGCCAGACUCGCCUUGGCGGCUUUUCAAUUAUUCGAUUGCCCCGCUCUGCUUGCUUAGUGGGGAGCAUUCAAUUCCAAGCAGUAUUUGUCUCUCUACUUCCAAGGCUGAAGAUCGUCGUUCAAUGUCCCCAGCAAGCGGUCCUCAGUUAAGGGUUUACCAGCUUCAUCUGAGGUAUAAGACCUAAUAGGCUUCACGUGGCAGAGAAAGCGAGGCCCCAAGAGGUUCAGUGAUCGGACCGUAAUCCCAAGGCCAGUUUGCGGAGGGGACCCUCUGGCCAGAGACCCGGCCUGAUGGGUCUGCCCCGUCCCCUUGUCCCCAGAAACAGGCAUCAUGCAGACACUCGGAGCUCAGAGAGCUGGCCACAUUCCUGGGCCGCGCAGACCCGUGGUACGAGAGCACCGUGAACACACUGUGCCCGGCCAUCCACAAGCUGGCAGAGAUGGUAAGGGGGCAGCGAGGGCGGGAGGGGGGGCAUUUCAGAUGUUACCCUUGACCCUUGACCUCAAGGGUCAACCCCAGGGCGCCCCCCCCCCCCGGGGGUGGGAUGAGGCCAGAAGGAAAAAUGGAAGCUGGUGGUCGAAAUUCCCCCAGGCACCUGCUUUGGGUGGAACACCGGGGAGACCAUCGAGCAAAACAUUCUUUCCUUAGUGUGUAGGCCAAGGUGCUUCCUGGGACGGCCUCUCCAUGAGUGUAAUAGCCCGUGUUUCCUGAGCACUUACGGGUGCCAGGCGCUGUUCAAGGGCACUCGCACUCCACGGCCCUAUCAAGUAGGCACUCUUGUCGGCAGGUGCGAGUGUAGCCAUCUCCCCACUUUACAGACCACACUACUGAGGCGCGAGAUUAGGGAACUUGUCCAAAGUAAAAAGGCGAGAGGUGGACUCCCACCCGGAACCGGACAGCUUGAUUCCAGGUAGGCGGCUCGUGAGUUCAUCUUCCAGUGACUUGAAAAGAUCUUCAUAUAUUAAGAGAAUCUCUUUUUUGUUUUUUCAAGUAAACUCCACCCCACCCCCCAAUGUGGGGCUCGAACUCACAACCCUGAGAUUAAGGGUCGCUGGCUCUACGCGCUGAGUGAGCCAGGCAGGUGCCCCUACUACUAAGAGAAUCUUAACCUUUUAGCCGUCAGGUGUUGCCGAUGUUUUUUUCCACUGUUAUUUGCCUGCGAAUUUCAUCAGCAGUGUUUUCUGACUUACAGAAAUUUGAUAUAUUUUUUCUUUACUUAUUUUUUUAAUGUUUAUUUAUUUAUGAGAGACAGAGCAUGAGCAGGAGAGGGGCAGAGAGAGAGGGAGACACAGAGUCCAAAGCAGGCUCCAGGCUCCGAGCUGUCAGCACAGAGCCCAAUGCGGGGCUCGAACUCGCAAACCGUGAGCUAUGACCUGAGCGGAAACCAAGAGGCGGACGCUCCACCGACUGAGCCCCCCGGGCGCCCCCAGAAGUUUAAUAUUUCUAUGUCACACUCAGAACUUUUAUCCUUUGAGAGACCUGCCUUUGGAGUCCUGCUUUGAAGGUUCUCCUCUGCUGAUUAAAUUACAUCCAAGAGUAGAUAAAUAUUCCCUGAUGAUUUACUGUAACUCUUUUAAUGCCUCGGUUUUCACAUUUAAAUUAACGUGCCUGCGACUGGUUUCAGUGCUUUGUGUGAAGCAUGCGAAUGUCUUUUUUCCAAAUGUGUAGCCAGUUGUCCUAAAGCUAUUUAUAGCACAAGCCAUCUUGCCCCAUCAGUCUGAAAUGCCACUUUUCUCGUUUACUAAAUUUUUAUUCUUUCUUGUUGAUCCAUUCAUCUCCGGACACAUUAGUACUUUCAUAUUUUAAUAGCAGGCAGGAUAAACCGACUUCAUUACUCUUCUUCCGGAAAAUGUUUCAGACUAUAUCUGUUUCCAGAUAAAUAUUAGAAUUUUGUCAAGUGUUUUUUUUUUAUUUUUUUUUUAACGUUUUUAUUUAUUUUUGAGACAGAGACAGAGCAUGAACGGGGGAGGGUCAGAGAGAGAGGGAGACACAGAAUCCGAAACAGGCUCCAGGCUCCGAGCAGUCAGCACAGAGCCGAUGCGGGGCUCGAACUCACGGACCGAGAGAUCAUGACCUGAGCCGAAGUCGGACGCUCAACCAACUGAGCCACCCAGGCGCCCCUGUCAAGUUUUUUUUUUUAAUCCACCCCACUCCCCCACCACCUUGGGAUUUUGAUUGAAAUUUGGAAGAGACUUAGCCUCUUUAGCGUGUUAAGUUACUCCCUGUGGGAGCACGGGAUUUAUCUUUAUUUACAAAAGUCUUGUACGUCCCUCAGGAUAGCUACACUUUUAGCAUGUUUUUCUUGCUGAAUCUGCUCCUUACGUUUGAUGGCUUUUUUUUUUUUUUUUGUAGUUGUGGGUGGUGUCUCUUUCCCCUUAUAUUUGGGUAGCACUUGCUGUUGUAUGAAGGAGUCUAUUGAGUUUAGCUACCUUAUUUUCUUUAAGUUUUUGUUUAAUGUUUAUUUAUUUUUGAAAGAGAGUGCAAACAGGGGAGGGGCAGAGAGAGAGGGAGGCACAGAAUCUGAAGCAGGCUCCAGGCUCCGAGCCGUCAGCCCAGAGCCCGACGCGGGGCUCGAACCCACGAACCGCGAGAGCAUGACCUGAGCUGAAGUUUGACACUUAACUGACUGAGCCCCCCCCCCAAACACUCCUAGGUACCUUAUAUUCUAAGUUGACACUUUACUGAGAUCUUUGUGUCAUUUUAUUGCCUGACUGAUUGGGGUUCUUUCUUAUACCUUCUAAUAAAAAUGUGGGGGGGGGGGGGGGCCUGUUUCCUGAAUUAUUGCUUACCUGAAAAGUGUCUUUGUGCAUACACAGAAGACUGGUUAGCCGAGUACUGAAAUACCUUUUCCUCAAAACUUGGAGGCUAUCAGGGGUGCCUGGGUGGUUCAGUCGGUUGAGCAUCUGACUCUUGAUUUUGGCUCAGGUCAUGAUCUCAUGGUUUGUGGGUUCGAGCCCCGCAUCGGGCUCUGUGCUUACAGUGCAGAGCCUGCUUGGGAUAUUCUCUCUCUCUCUCUCUCUCUCUCUCUCUCUCUCUCACGCUUUCUCUCCGCCCCUGCUUUGCUCCUGCUCAUUCUAUCUCCCCCAAAAUAAAAACACUUGGGGCACCUGGGUGGCUCAGUCGGUUGAGCGUCCAACUUCAGCUCAGAUCAUGAUCUCACGGUCUGUGGGUUCGAGCCCCGCGUCGGGCUCUGUGCUGACAGCUCGGAGCCUGAAGCCUGCUUCGGAUUCUGCGUCUCCCUCUCUCUCUUCCCCUCUCCUGCUUAUGCUUUGUCUCUCUCUCUCUCUCUCAGAAAUAAAUAAACAUGAAAACAUUUUUUAAUAAAUAAAUAAGGCUUGGAGGCUGUUAGGGGAGGAACAUCUGAUGCGGGUCUCACUUCUGCUCUUUGGUUGGUACCUUUUUUCCCGCCCCCAAGCCGGGACACAUGUAGAAAUCAGGGUUCCCCCUGCUUGCUUUGCCCUAAUAAUUAGCAGUUUGUAUGGCCCCCACACUUAGUCCAAACGCAGUUUCCACAUGAAGAGACUGGAAACAGUGUGAGAGAUACAUAGAUCGAUAGACAGAUCGAUCGAUCGAUAGAUAGAUAGAUAAUGAUAUAAUACUUGAAUACGACAAGAGCUAAAGGAGGCAGCAAAUCACCUCACCUCUCGGGCCCAAGGUCACCUGGCCAGUGAACGCCUAAUCCAAACCCGGAACUCAGUUCAGCCCCUGUGAUCAUUGGCUAUGUUCUCAAGCAUCUGGUCCUUGAGCUCCUUCCCUUCCAGCUAGAGGCGCCCCCUGUGUCUUUGUGCAAAGUGGAAUGCAUCAGAGGCCCUGGGGGGCCGGGACCCUGGACAGGUAUAUUUGCCUGAGGAGUAGACAUCAGGCGGUCAGCAGGGCCUGGACUGCAUUGAGGGACCAGUUGGGUUUAGUGCCUCACAGAGGGGACACUGGAGCCUUGGAGCUUCUCCGUUCCGAAAACAGCACCUCCCACCAUAGCCCGGAGGGUGGCGGCUGAAGGCCUUCCCUGCCCCCCUCACAGCCUCCCUCCCUGGACACAUCCCGGACCGUGGACCCCUUCAUCCUCGAUGUCAUCACCUACUACCUUCGCAUGGGCACCCAACCCAUCUACUUCCAGAUCUACACAGUCAAGGUAAGUAUGGCCCUCCCCCCGCCCGCCGGGACCCCACCGCCAAAACACUCCGGCUCUGGGGAGACACGGGUUAGCAGGGCACACGUCACAGACCCACCCAGACGCUCCUGGUUGCUAACCGUGUCUUUCCAAUCUUUGGACGAAUCAGAUAAUCAUUAACUUCACAGGCAUGCGGCCUGAGCAGAAGUACAUCUUCGCGUGGAAAGAUGCUUUAGGCCUUGACCCCGCGGAGGGCUGGCGAUAGGGCUGCUGCGAAAGUUCUCCCCAGCAAUCGCUUCAUCUCAGAAAUCCUCAACGCUCACUGUCCAGUCUCUGAUCACACACUGCCGCCCCUGCGAGGCCCCCUCCCCUUCUCCCCCCCACCCCUCCGCCCCUGCGUCCUCGCUUCCCCUCUGUCUCCCCUCCCAGCAAAACCCGAGCCCAGGGCAGCGCUGAAGUGCGCCUCAGCUCUUGCUGAGCUCGGGGCCCCUGAGCACCUGCUAAAAGAUAAGCCGAAGCCCUCUGGCCGGACACGGAGGCUGUGUCCUUUCCCCGCCACAGUGGCUGUUCCCGCCUUCCCUGCUUUCCUUGAGUCCUCACUCUCAGCAAGUGGCUUGGCCACCCACUCCGCUGGGGGGAAAGUGGAGACCAUUAGGUGUCCCCAAAGCUUCUGUCCAUGCCUACGCCUGCAUGCACACCUCCCCAGCAGACAUGAAGCCCCCCACCCACCCACCAGUUCAGGCAAAACCCCAUGAUGCAUGCCCUUCCGGUCUGUUCCCGCCUCCUCCGGGACCGUCCCCCUCAACCUGAGAUUUCGGGAGGCGGCCUCUGCUGCUUCCUCUCUCGUUCCGGAUUCUCGUCCCUCUCUCUGCGUCCCGUGGUGGAAAUUUUCUUCAUGACCUUCCCCCUUUUUGACCUAAAUGAGGCAAUUAGCUCCUGUCGCUGGUUUCCAAAAGGCAAAAUGAAACAACCCGAGUCAAACAAACAGAUGGGAGUAAACCUCUCAGGCUGGUAAAGGGAGUAAACAUCUCAGCCGCGCAAAUAAAUUGAAAGGUUGGGCAUCCCGUCGCUGCCCUUUGGCCAGAGGCCCCCGGAGCAGUCCUUUGAUUGGAAAAGUGUCGGGAUGGGGCCCGCACACAGUCCUGUUUUUUCCUGUGUUUGUGACGGUGGCAGGGUCUGCUUCCUGUCUUGACCCAUCAGGGUCCCAGGGACGCCCCUCCAGCCCCAGAUUCCCAGCCCCAACCCAGAAUGGCUCAGCUCCCUCGAGCCCUUCCGUCCUGGCUGGUCUCGCCUUGCAAGUCAGGAAUGGGGUCCCCCUCUCUGGCCCUUCUGGCGUCCACAAGAGAUUUUCUCACACGGCCCCGCCCCUGUGUGAAUCGUGUGCCCCGUUCCUUCCGCGUUAGACCGUCGUGGUUGCAGACCGUCGAGGACGGCUUGGGUUCUGAUACCAGUGGCUUCCCCAUUUGUAAAUAUAUUACAUCACUGGACACCUGUGGACAGGCAGGUCCGGGAAGCCACUGCCCGGACGGUGGGGGCCCCGGCCCUGCUUCCUUCCAGAAGCUCUCCAACCGUCCACACCUCCUCCCUCCCUCCAGAUCUUCAGGGACCUGAGCCAACACCCUGCAGAGGACAUUUUUCUCACUGAGCUCAAGGUGAAGAUUCAAGACACCAAGCCCCCCAAAGGUGAGCAUCCUCCCUUCCCAGAGCUCACUGACGCAUCUCCGGCCAAGCCCUGUUUCUGGAACGUCCUCCCGCCUCUCACCUGAUGCCCCCCCCCCCAACUCCACCAAAUACCGGGGUGCCCUUGGCUCCUCCAAGCUUGCCUGGACUGGAACCCUCGAGAUGCUUCCUUUCCAUCCAAGGAGAGAUGCUGUCACCAUUCAGCAGCUCCGCUCGGCCUGGGUGAGGCGGGAGGGGCAGGAGCCUCCUACGCGAUUCAGCCUCUUCCCUCCUCCUCCCUCAGAUGGCUUUUCACCCAGGAGGAGGGGCGCAGCCGAGGGCCCAGGGGCUGAGCUCAACAUUUGCUACCAGAAGGUGAGUGGUUCGUGGGGGGCGGGGGGCUGCUCAGGAGGAGGUGGGAGGCACAGGGUUGGAAGCAGGCAUCAGGGACAGGCUGGUGGGAGCAGACAGACAGCCUUUGGAGAGUUUUGCAGGGAUGAGCAAAUUACCACGGGCCUUGCACGCAGCCGAGGAGGCCACGUGAUUUAAGGGACAAGGGGCCUGUCCUGUUGCUGGAGGAUGCCUUCCUCCCUAGCUGGCCAGAUGCUUGAACUGAUAGCAUGGGAGACGCGUCCCUUCGGGCCUGGGAGGCUGACCGUGCUCCCUGGGGCCAAGAGUGCUCUCCGCCUCUCCCCGCCAGCCCCGCCUUGGACACUGGUGACUCGGACAAGAAUCUCAGGGCAGGGGUGGGAAGCAGGACUGUUAACACGAGGGUGCCCGGGGGGACAGGGAUGUUCUGAGGACCCCCUUGGUGCCCGCAUCCCCCUCCAGGCCCUGCUCAGCCACCGGGCCCAAGAGGUCGCCGUUUCCCUGCGGGCCACUGGGCUGGUCCUGAAGACCUUUGCAGCCAGUGACACUGAAGGUAAGGAGCUGGAGAGAGAAGGCACGAGAAGGGGAUGGGCGGGGGGAGAAGGAAAAAGGGGUGAGUGACGGUAGAGGAGGUGACCCAGAGGAAUCGGGCCUCCCACCCAAUCCUGAGGUCGUGCAGGGCUGAGCACCGGGUGCCCGGGUGCGGCAUGGUAUCUGCCCUCACCUCGGGGGGACAUGCAACAGCAUUGGCCUCGGUCCUGCCCUGCAGCUGGAAGGCAGAGGGGCCACACGGAGGGGGUCCUGCCGCCCUCCUGCCUCUGUUGCGUCUGGAGAUGUUUUCUUCUGAAUGUCACUCCACCGGGGGCAGGUAAUCCCCAGUUCACCAAAGGCACCACCGGCCCAAACUCUCUAAUUUUAGCUAAUUACCUAAUAAUAGCUAUGUAUCUAAUAGAUAAUAAGAUAGUUUAUCUAACGCUCCAAAUCUAAAAUAGAGAUGUUAAAAAGAUACCAAUGUAAAUGCCGAUAGUGAAGGAUAAUCGUGAGCUGUUCCGUUAGCCCCCUGGUCUUCUGGAAGAAAGAAAAGUUCGGUGAUGUGAGUGAGGACGUCACCGAACCCAUUGAUCAGAGGCCGGGCAAUGUUCUGUGUCAAACACAUCGACUCUCCGAAUCCUGUGAGAUCGGCAUUAUUAAUACCAGCCGCUUUUUACCAGAGACGUAACUGAAGGCGGAGAAAUGCCGGAGGCCAGGUCACGUCCGUGAGGAAGGGUCAGAGCCCGGAUUCACACCCAGGCCAUCCGGGUGCUGGCUUUCAGGCAAAGGAAGCAGGGGACCCAGCAAGACCACCUUUAUUUGUGCAUCUUUUUUUUUCUUUAAUGUUUAGUUUAUUUUUGAGAAAGAGAGACAGAGUGUGAGCAGGGGAGGGGCAGAGAGAGAGGGAGACACAGAAUCCGAAGCAGGCUCCAGGCUCCGAGCCGUCAGCACAGAGCCCGAUGCCGGGCUCCAACUCAUGAACCAUGAGAUCAUGACCUGAGCUGAAGUCGGACAUUCAAGCGACUGAGCCCCCCAGGCGCCCCCCACUCGUGCACCCUUAACACCGCAAGGGAGACAUGUGACCCUGGGGAUAGCUCUUAGCCGAGAGGUGGGUCAAGAGCACAGGUUCUGGGUCGGGAUGGGGGCUGGCCUCCAGGUCCGGCUUUGCCAUUUACCAUCUGUGUGACCUUGGGCGAGUUCCUCGUGACCUCUCUACCGGUCCUUUCAUUUCUCAAGUGAAGAUGAAGUCCUCAUUCAUGUGCGUCUAGAAAACUAUCGUGUUCGCUCUAAUUGUUAAGUUGUAUUUCCCUCAUUUCCUUCACCAGCAUCCCCCCACCCGCCCACCCCCACGCUAACUUGCGCUCCUCCCAUUGAUCGCGUGCCGGGGGCUUCAGGAAGGGUCCACCGCACCUUCUUCCACGGAAAAGGGGUGCGGGAGGGGGUGCAGAAAGGCACGGGGAGGGGGCUGCCGUGACAGGGGAUACCCUGUGGGUCCCCCAGGGAAAGGCAGUGGAUGUUCAGGAAGGAACUGAAACGCGGUCGGGACCAAGGCGCAGUCAGGAAGUUGGGGGGGCCCGUUACAGCCACCUGCUUCCCAUCUUGUUCCCCCCAGUUUCUGGGCCCGCCCCCGCCCCGCCACCUGCUGUUCCCGUGACAGACCACACGUGCCUGAACGUCAGCGUGACGGAGGUCAUCAAGUCCUCCAACUUGGCGGGAAGGUCCUUCUCU